Molecule: non-coding RNA, 1875 nt
Organism: Cricetulus griseus (Chinese hamster)
Lineage: Eukaryota; Metazoa; Chordata; Mammalia; Rodentia; Cricetidae
Source: RefSeq, a predicted model, not a curated record
UAGAAGCUGCCGACUGCUAGCCUGCUAGCCGCAGGCACAGGUGGAGGAAACUGCCUUGCUGCCUUCGUUCUCUCUGAGGCCUCCUGGUCUUAUUUAACAAUGUAAUCUACACGAUAUCGAUGUGUUGCCUUUGACAAGGGUCUUCACCUCACACCUGGGAGCAUCUGGGAGAAGGGGUCCGGAAGGAGAGGAUUCACUAUCUGCUUGCUCCAUCCAGUAAUGGAUUCCUUCUCACAAGACUGGUAGUUCUUUAAAAUCUGGGGUGAUCAGUCCUCCUUCUCUGCAACUGGAUUUCAGUUCAGUUCAAGGUUUAGCUGUGGCUGUCUGCUUCUACUUCCACCAGCUGCUGGAUGAAGGCUAUAGGAUGGAAUACAACCAAAGGCCCACCAGGCGAUGUGCACUGUCUAGAUUGUGCUGCUGUAGUGGGAUUUGAUUCCAGGGACACAAACAGUCCCAGACAGCAGAAUGAAAAUCAGAGUCAAGCAUCUGAAAGGACAAAGAGAACUGUAACAUCAGGAAACGACUCUGCUUCAUAACCCUGAAGACCUGUUGCUGUUUCAUGCAGGCAUCGAUUGUGGAAGAUGGGAAGGCCAAGAUAAGGCAGCAACAGAUUUGCUGACUUAUACUUGCUGUCUUCUCAAGAUGAGGCCCUUGAAUCCUUUUUUUGGAAAGGAUCCUAAUUCAUAGCUUCAUUUCUUCUUGUUGCUGUCAUCAUCAUCAUCAUCAUCAUCAUCAUCAUCAUCAUCAUCAUCGUAAUCAUCAUUUUCAUAUAUGAAUUUCACAAACACACAGACAUUCAGACCACAGCGGAUGGGAUUUCCAAAUUGGUAUCGUACCUGUGCUCUCAACAGGACAUACCCCAGAUCUACUGAGUGCCUGUUCUAAUUGAUGAUGCACAUUCCAGGUGAAUGGUUUCCGUAGGGAAGCCCCAUUAUUAAGAUUUGUUAGAUAUAAAACAGUUCUUUGGUUACAGGUAAUGCUUUUGAAAUAAGCUUGGUGGUGCAGGUUUAAAAAAUGGUGGCAUUAGCCAGGUGGUGGUGGUGCACGCCUUUAAUCUCAGCUCUUGGGAGUCAGAGGCAGGCAGAUCUCUGUGAGUUCAGUGCCAAUCUGGUUUACAGAGUUAGUUCCAGGACAGGGUCCAAAGCUACUCAGAGAAACCCUGUCUUGAAAGAAAAAGAAAGAUGGUGCUUGCCAGACAGAAUGUAGAAGGCAAAGCAGAUAUGCUGGAAUAUUACUUAUUUUGUUUGAAAAAUUCCAUUUAUUUAAUGUAAGUAAUAUCACUAGAAAACUGCAGAAAACUGUUCAGAUUUUCUUAGGCACAGUAAACAAAACAAAACAAAACAAAACAAAAACCCAAAAACCAGAGCAGGCUAAGAGCUGGUAUUAUUUAUAUAUAAUUACAGCAUUCCACUUCCUCCAGGAACCCCAACUUCCUCCUUCCGCUUCCCCCAGGAAGUGAUGGAAUCUCAAAUCUUAGACACCAUUAUGGAUCAAAUGAUGUAAGCAAAUGUACAGGAGUGUGAGAUUAAUUUUGGUUGUAACUUGGCUGGUUUGAGGUAUACCUGGAGAACUGGCCUCUCUCUCUCUCUCUCUCUCUCUCUCUCUCUCUCUCUCUGAGUUAGUUUGAUAUAGUCCCAAAUAAAAAUAAACAUAUAAAAAGUCUUCUACAGCUCUGACCACAGGGUAGGGUAGGGGGAGGUUAAUGUGGUAUGUUGGUUAUAGAGAAGGCUUGAUGAACCACCAAAGCCAGCUCUUAACAUCUUAUGGGGAAGUUGAAAGAGUGUGUGCAAAGUUUAUAAGCCUUUCCAAAAAGGCUCAUGUAUUCUAAUUUAUUUAAGUUUUAAAGGACUCUGUGUGUGUGUGUGUGUGUGUGUG